RNAcentral lists this signal recognition particle RNA (299 nucleotides) under Aotus nancymaae (Ma's night monkey). Its description in RNAcentral is "Metazoan signal recognition particle RNA (ENSANAG00000006940.1)". It matches the Rfam family "Metazoan signal recognition particle RNA". Rfam says of the family: The signal recognition particle (SRP) is a universally conserved ribonucleoprotein. Lineage: Eukaryota; Metazoa; Chordata; Mammalia; Primates; Aotidae. The record is from RNAcentral.
GCCCAGCACUGUGGUGCAUGCCUGUAGUCCUAGCUACUCAGGAGGCUGAGAUGAGAGGAUCGCUUGAGCCCAGGAGUUCUGGGCUGUAGUGCGCUAUGCCAAUCGGGUGUCCGCACUAAGUUCAGCAUCAAUAUGGUGACUUCCCGGGAGCGGAGGACCACCAGGUUGCCUAAGGAGGGGUGAACUGGCCCAGGUCAGAAACGGAGCAGGUCAAAACUCCCAUGCUGAUCAGUAGUGGGAUCAUGCCUGUGAAUAGCCACUGCACUCCAGCCUGGGCAACAUAGUGAGACCCUGUCUCU